CUACGGGAGGCAGCAGCAAGGAAUUUUGCGCAAUGGGCGAAAGCCUGACGCAGCAACGCCGCGUGGAGGAUGAAGGCUUUCGGGUUGUAAACUUCUUUUCAACGGGAAGAUGAUGACGGUACCGUUGGAAUAAGUCUCGGCUAACUACGUGCCAGCAGCCGCGGUAAUACGUAGGAGGCGAGCGUUGUCCGGAUUUACUGGGCGUAAAGAACGCGUAGGCGGUUGGCUAAGUCUGAUGUGAAAUCUCCUGGCUUAACUGGGAGGGUGCAUUGGAGACUGGUCGACUGGAGGGCAUCAGAGGAAAGCGGAACUCCCGGUGUAGUGGUGAAAUGCGUAGAGAUCGGGAAGAACACCUGUGGCGAAGGCGGCUUUCUGGGGUGUCCCUGACGCUGAGGCGUGAAAGCGUGGGGAGCGAACCGGAUUAGAAACCCGUGUAGUCC
RNAcentral lists this ribosomal RNA (440 nucleotides) under uncultured bacterium. RNAcentral describes it as "bacterial SSU rRNA". It matches the Rfam family "Bacterial small subunit ribosomal RNA", at positions 339 to 796 of the family's 1533-position model. The record is from RNAcentral.